AGUGAACGCUGGCGGUAGGCCUAACACAUGCAAGUCGAUCGGCAGCACAGGAGAGCUUGCUCUCUAGGUGGCGAGUGGCGGACGGGUGAGGAAUACAUCGGAAUCUGCCCAGUCGUGGGGGAUAACGUAGGGAAACUUACGCUAAUACCGCAUACGACCUUCGGGUGAAAGAGGGGGAUCGCAAGACCUCUCGCGAUUGGAUGAGCCGAUAUCGGAUUAGCUAGUUAGCGGGGUAAUGGCCCACCAAGGCGACGAUCCGUAGCUGGUCUGAGAGGAUGAUCAGCCACACUGGAACUGAGACACGGUCCAGACUCCUACGGGAGGCAGCAGUGGGGAAUAUUGGACAAUGGGCGCAAGCCUGAUCCAGCCAUACCGCGUGGGUGAAGAAGGCCUUCGGGUUGUAAAGCCCUUUUGUUGGGAAAGAAAUCUUUCAGGCUAAUACCCUGGGAGGAUGACGGUACCCAAAGAAUAAGCACCGGCUAACUUCGUG
Molecule: ribosomal RNA, 490 nt
Filed under: uncultured bacterium
Lineage: Bacteria
Description: partial 16S ribosomal RNA
Rfam family: Bacterial small subunit ribosomal RNA
Source: RNAcentral